This is a long non-coding RNA of Zonotrichia leucophrys gambelii, 1141 nucleotides long. RefSeq lists it as uncharacterized. Lineage: Eukaryota; Metazoa; Chordata; Aves; Passeriformes; Passerellidae. The transcript is spliced from 3 exons. The record is from RefSeq and is a predicted model, not a curated record.
AUUUUUAAUGAAGAGACAUUUCUCCUAAAAGGUGGCAUCUCUUUUCCUUCAUGAGCUGGGUUUAAGGAAAUAAUUUUAUGACCUCAUUCUGGACCUUAAAACCUGUUUCUAGUGUUUGCAUGUGUCUACUGGGUAUGCUUUAGCUUUUUCAUGUGAAGAGACUUCUGGCAAAAAGAAUGUUUUUCCUCACUUGGUAAUGUUACUCCAAGAGCACAGUGUGGAAGACAGAAAACUUGCCAAGUGGAUGAACAACUAAGAAUUAUGUCUACCUCCAAAGAAACACUUGGAAAAAUUCUACCAAAAAGAGAGAGCUCUUAGCAGUUCUUUCAGUCUAUACAAAAGGAGACUAAAACUUCCUGUUGUUGAGAUCUACUUCUGGACCUCCCAAGCUGCAUUCUAUGGUUGUGAUCCCAGCUGCAUUGCCUGAUGCUGCAGGAGUUUUGCUCUCAUGUCUGUCACUGCCUUUCCAGCAGUCACAGGCUCCUGGAAGAUGUCCCCUCUGCCUUCUUCUCACCAAACUACACAAGAGCAGCUCUCUCUCCUCAGAGGCACUGUGUUCCAGGUCUCUCACCAUUUUUGUAGUCUCAGCUGGCUCCUCUACUCUUUUGCCACAUCCCUUCUGAACUGGAGGACCUAACACUGGAGACGAAUCCUGGAGAGGCCUCACCAGCUCUGGACAGAGUGGGUAGAAAUCACUCUUCUGGCUGUGCUAGACAUGUGGCUGCUAGUGCAGCCUGUUUAUCUUAUCUGUGAUGGGAGCAUAUUUCUGGUUAAUGGUCAGCCUGUUGUCUGCUGAAACCUCAAGUCCUUCUCAGAAGGGCUGUUGGGCAGAUUGAAUCUUCCAGCCUGGCUGAAGGCACAGAGUUGUGUCACCCCUUGUGCAGAGCUCUGCUCCAUUCGUCCUUAGAGACCACAGGGUGCUGCUUCUCAUGUUGACUCAGGCCCCUGUGGGCAGCCAUUUGUUAGGUGGCCACCCUCCCAGUUUAAUAUCACCCGUGGCUGUUCGUGCUCUCCACCGAAAGUAGAACCAAAAUAAAACUUCAUGUUGAUCUGAAUCUAUAAACCCCCUGGAGGGAGUAUUUCUGUCUUGAUCUGAGUAGGACAAGACAACCACAUAAACAGGAAUGAGAUGACUCCAACA